GGGGAAGCUCAGUCAGUCAGCCAAACAAUCUUCAGAAGGGAAAGACACGAGGAAAGAACAAAGAAGAUCCAAGUCCACUCAUGGAUUCAGUCCAAAGACGCCAGUGGCUGAAGCUGAUGUCAGCUGAUUGACUCCACAUGACGAAACCCGACUCCCUCCCACUGAACGUGUUGCCGCGGGCGAUGGCCAUGUCACCUGGAAACACUUCCUGGAACUGCUGGGGUCCAACAGAAGGAUUCUGGGUUUAUUUCAGCUCUGAUCAGAUGGAACCAGAGACCUGCAGCUCAUCAGGAACAGGUGGAUCCAUUUAGAAGAACCUCAGAAGAUCUGGUCCAGGUUUAAUCUGGGACCUGGUUCAGCUCCAAAACAACCAGAUCCGAGAUAAGACCUGAAACCUGAACGUCCGGAUCCAUUAACGUCACCAGAAACGGGUCCAGAUCCAGGUCCAGGUCCAGCCUCUUCUUCUCUGGUGUUUGUUCUGUCAGGGUUCCUGCCAGGUCGACCUCCAGCUGCUGGCCUGGUAAAGUACUACAUAUGGUGUCCAAAUACUGCAGAAAUACAGAAGAGUUACAGAAAAACUGCUAGAAAACUUUAAAUACACGUUAAAAUACUUUAAUAUUCGUAGUAAAUGACCAAAAUAUUCGUAAUAUGAAAGUAGAACCUCAAGGAUCUAAACCUGCAGCAGCUCUGGUUGGUUCUAACAUGUUGUUGUGGCCCCUACUGGCCCUUGAUGGCCCCCACUGGCCCUUGGUGGCCCCUACUGGCCCUUGAUGGCCCCUACUGGUCCUUGGUGGACCCCACUGGCCCUUGGUGGCUCCUGCUGGCCUUAGUGCCCCCUGGAGGACCUGGUGGCCUCUAGAGACCCUGAAUAGCCAUGGACCCAUUAGAGUUGGUGGACCAUAUUGGCCCCUCAUGGCCCCUUGUGAACCCUGGACGCCCUGUUGGCCCCUAGUGGAAGUGGUGGCCCCCGGUGGUCCUGGUGGCCCCUUGACACUCCUGGAAGCCCUUGUGGCCUUGGAAACCCCAGUCGGAUCCCGGAGGCCUUGGUGGCCUCUGGAAACCUCUGGAAGGUCCAGUGGCCCCUUGGAAGUUCUGCUGGCCCCUGCCGGCCCCUGCUGGCCCCCCAUGGCCCCUGCUGGCCUCUGAUGGCCCCCCCAUGGCCCCUGAUGGCUUCUUUCCUUCAUCAUCUUCAUCACUCAUCCUGGACGUCAGUGUAGAAACAUCAGUUUUUAUUAUUUUCAUCUGAUCCCAGCGACCCUUUAGAGGAGUUAAACCUGUUUUUAUCCAGAUGUUCCAAAGAACACGGAACCUUCCAGGCUGAAAACAGCAAUGUUCCGCAUCAUUAAAUCCACACUUGGAGAGAAUUAGGUGUAAAUCAGAGCUGAGUUAUUACAGCCUGAAAGACGAAACCCAGGAAAAUAAGUUGACAAAGAAGUUUUUCACAUCAGCGAGUUCCUAAUCCAUGGAGUCCAUCUCACCUGCUUCAUGUGGAAACACGUGUUGGAACCGUCCUGCUGGUUCUGGACCAGAACCCUUUAAUGGGAGCUGGGAUCACCCACGGAGAGCAGGACCGGUCCAGAUACCUGGGAGCUCUGCUGGACCGGGUCCUGGGAUUUAUCGAUGCUGGCAGCAGGAGGUCUGGAAUCAGAUUAGCCAGGAAAUAGAUCCAAUGCCUCAGAGCGGACCCUGGUAUGAACCGCAAGAGAACCAAUAAAACCUCCAAAACAACCUGGAUCUUCAUCUGACCAACCAAAGAACGGCACCAAAACAACCCGGAUCCUCGUCUGAUCAACCUCUACUGGUCUUAUAAUAAUCCGCAACUGUUUCUGUUGUGGUUCUAUCAGAUAAAGUUGCUCGUUGUUCCUUUAGUUUGUGAAAAGUAAUUUAAUGGACUAAAGGAGGAACAGGAGAAACUCUGCACUUCUGUUUGUGGAUUCAAUUAAUACAAUUCCUUUAAAUAAAAAAGAAUAAACACAG
Molecule: long non-coding RNA, 1977 nt
Organism: Amphiprion ocellaris (clown anemonefish)
Lineage: Eukaryota; Metazoa; Chordata; Actinopteri; Pomacentridae
Source: Ensembl